RNAcentral lists this long non-coding RNA (943 nucleotides) under Mytilus galloprovincialis (Mediterranean mussel). Lineage: Eukaryota; Metazoa; Mollusca; Bivalvia; Mytilida; Mytilidae. The record is from RNAcentral.
GCAGCGAGGCGUCGGCGCAUCUCAGGGGACGUACAUGGCAGGUAAUAUAUAUAAUUAUUUAUGACGUCAUUAAUUUCUACAAAAGAAGUCAAUGUCUAUAAAAGAGAGAAAUAAGAUAAAUAUAACAAAAGGUCAGCUGAAACACCUACACAGCUGUAUUAUUAAAUCAUGACUAUAAUGUGUAGGUACAUGUACUAAUAUCACCUUAUUUGAUUGGAAGGCAUUGUGGGUAAUUAUAGUUCAUUAUUCGACCGGAAAUCUACAUCAACUAAUUCCUUUCUUUUGUCAACUGAUCAUAGUCUAGAUGGGGUUCGUAGAAUAAAUAAUACUGGACAAUAGGUGCAGAAUAAAAAAAGGGGGGGGUUAAAAUAAUAGUGAAAAUUAGAAAACAAAUAAGGAAUAGAGAAUUUGUUAUGGGGUGUUUGAAUAUAAAGAAUAGAGAAAAUUGUCUUUUAAGAUAGAGAAUACAGAAAUGAAGGUAUCCCAUCCAAACCCUCAUUGAUUUGUUACCAAAAGUCAAAUCAGUUAUUAAACUUGAGACAAUAUUAUCCUUAAAAAUAAUAAACAACAAGACAAUUUAAAUGUCACGUAUAAAAAGAAGCGGAGGAUAUUAACCAAAGACACAGUAGAAAACAAUGAAUCAAAUAACAGAAUACAAAUUUUGGUUAAAACUAAGAACGAAUGAAAGACAAAACAACACAGAAAACUUGAAAAUUUAUAACACAAAGCUGUCCUAAAACGGAGCUGAACUCAGGUACUCCUAAAUAGUACCAGUGUUUCUAUGACCCCUAGUAUACUCAGUACAAAAAGUAAAGGUAUUUUAUGCAAAUAGUGGCCUUAUUUUAACCUAGUUUUUCUUCUUUUUCAGGAAUCAAGACGAUAUUCACUUGAAAGAAAUCAGCGCUGUAAUGGCAUUGACCUCUCUCGCGAGAUCUCGUAGUAG